Molecule: ribosomal RNA, 151 nt
Filed under: uncultured bacterium
Lineage: Bacteria
Description: partial 16S ribosomal RNA
Rfam family: Bacterial small subunit ribosomal RNA
Source: RNAcentral
GUCUGAUGGAGCACGCCGCGUGAGUGAAGAAGGUUUUCGGAUCGUAAAACUCUGUUGUUGGAGAAGAACGUAUUUGAUAGUAACUGAUCAGGUAGUGACGGUAUCCAACCAGAAAGCCACGGCUAACUACGUGCCAGCAGCCGCGGUAAUA